CUUGGUCAUUUAGAGGAAGUAAAAGUCGUAACAAGGUUUCCGUAGGUGAACCUGCGGAAGGAUCAUUACGUUCAGUAGCCUAGCUACUGUCAGUGGGGCUCGUUAGUCUGCAUAGCUUAAACGCUGAUGAGCAGCAGGCCCCCUGUCUUCACCCUUGUUUUUUGCGUACCCAUGUUUCCUCGGUGGGCUUGCCCGCCGGCUGGACAAAACUAUAACCUAUUUAAUUUUCAAUCAGCGUCUGAAAUAAUUUUAAUAAUUACAACUUUCAACAACGGAUCUCUUGGUUCUGGCAUCGAUGAAGAACGCAGCGAAAUGCGAUAAGUAGUGUGAAUUGCAGAAUUCAGUGAAUCAUCGAAUCUUUGAACGCACAUUGCGCCCCUUGGUAUUCCAUGGGGCAUGCCUGUUCGAGCGUCAUUUGUACCCUCAAGCUUUGCUUGGUGUUGGGUGUUUGUCUCUUCCCUUGCGGGGAGACUCGCCUUAAAGUAAUUGGCAGCCAGUGUUUUGGUAGUAAGCGCAGCACAUUUUGCGUCUUGGUCCCUAAAAUAAUGGCAACCAUAAGCUCUUUUUCACGUUUGACCUCGGAUCAGGUAGGGAUACCCGCUGAACUUAAGCAUAUCAAUAAGCGGAGGA
Molecule: ribosomal RNA, 630 nt
Filed under: uncultured fungus
Lineage: Eukaryota; Fungi
Description: eukaryotic LSU rRNA
Rfam family: 5.8S ribosomal RNA (bases 261-414)
Source: RNAcentral